This 253-nucleotide ribosomal RNA is filed under the name uncultured bacterium. RNAcentral describes it as "partial 16S ribosomal RNA". It matches the Rfam family "Bacterial small subunit ribosomal RNA", at positions 524 to 776 of the family's 1533-position model. The record is from RNAcentral.
UACAGAGGGGGCAAGCGUUAUUCGGAAUUAUUGGGCGUAAAGGGCGCGUAGGCGGCUUUUCAAGUGACGGGUGAAAUCCCUCGGCUUAACCGAGGAACUGCCUGUCAGACUGGAAGGCUUGAGACCGGGAGAGGUGAGUGGAAUUCCCAGUGUAGCGGUGAAAUGCGUAGAUAUUGGGAGGAACACCAGUGGCGAAGGCGGCUCACUGGCCCGGUACUGACGCUGAGGUGCGAAAGCGUGGGGAGCAAACAGG